Molecule: unclassified non-coding RNA, 246 nt
Filed under: rhizosphere metagenome
Description: partial ribosomal RNA internal transcribed spacer region
Source: RNAcentral
GUAGGUGAACCUGCGGAAGGAUCAUUAACGAGUUAGGGUCUUCAGGCCCGACCUCCCAACCCUAUGUUUAUUGGACCUCUGUUGCUUCGGCGGACCCGCCUCACGGCCGCCGGAGGACCGCUGCAAGGCGUCCUCUGGCCCGCGUCCGCCGAUGGCCAACCCUAAACCCUGAAUAAAUCGUGUCGUAUGUCUAAGUCUAUGAUUAAAUUAAAGCAAAAACUUUCAACAACGGAUCUCUUGGUUCUG